This 1342-nucleotide unclassified non-coding RNA is filed under the name uncultured cyanobacterium. RNAcentral's name for it is "bacterial SSU rRNA". The stretch from base 1 to 1059 matches the Rfam family "Bacterial small subunit ribosomal RNA", at positions 479 to 1533 of the family's 1533-position model. Lineage: Bacteria; Bacillati; Cyanobacteriota. The record is from RNAcentral.
CUGAAGAAAAAGCAUCGGCUAACUCCGUGCCAGCAGCCGCGGUAAUACGGAGGAUGCAAGCGUUAUCCGGAAUCAUUGGGCGUAAAGGGUCCGCAGGUGGCGAAUAAAGUCUGCUGUUAAAGACCGGGGCUUAACUCCGGAAAGGCAGUGGAAACUGAUUAGCUAGAGUACGGUAGGGGUAGAGGGAAUUCCCAGUGUAGCGGUGAAAUGCGUAGAUAUUGGGAAGAACACCGGUGGCGAAAGCGCUCUACUAGGCCGAAACUGACACUGAGGGACGAAAGCUAGGGUAGCGAAAGGGAUUAGAUACCCCUGUAGUCUUAGCGGUAAACGAUGGAUACUAGGUGUAGCUUGUAUCGACCCAAGCUGUGCCGAAGCUAACGCGAUAAGUAUCCCGCCUGGGGAGUACGCACGCAAGUGUGAAACUCAAAGGAAUUGACGGGGGCCCGCACAAGCGGUGGGGUAUGUGGUUUAAUUCGAUGCAACGCGAAGAACCUUACCAGGGCUUGACAUGUCGCGAAUCUAGCGGAAACGUUAGAGUGCCUUAGGGAAUGCGAACACAGGUGGUGCAUGGCUGUCGUCAGCUCGUGUCGUGAGAUGUUGGGUUAAGUCCCGCAACGAGCGCAACCCUCGUCCUUAGUUGCCAAUAUUAAGUUAGGCACUCUAGGGAGACUGCCGGGGACAACUCGGAGGAAGGUGGGGAUGACGUCAAGUCAGCAUGCCCCUUACGUCCUGGGCGACACACGUACUACAAUGGUUGGGACAAAGGGCAGCAAGCUCGCGAGAGUAAGCGAAUCUCAUCAAACCCAGCCACAGUUCAGAUUGCAGGCUGCAACUCGCCUGCAUGAAGUAGGAAUCGCUAGUAAUCGCAGGUCAGCAUACUGCGGUGAAUUCGUUCCCGGGCCUUGUACACACCGCCCGUCACACCAUGGAGGCUGGCUACGCCCGAAGUCGUUACCCUAACCCGGUUUUGGGAGGGGGAUGCCGAAGGUAGAGCUAGUGACUGGGGUGAAGUCGUAACAAGGUAGCCGUACCGGAAGGUGUGGCUGGAUCACCUCCUUUACAGGGAGACCUAGUCUAAUUACCAAUAGAUGAAAAAGUUGGUAAUUCGCAAGAAUCCUUAGGUCGUGAAGGGAGCAAGAAAAAACUUUCAAACUGUAAUGGGUGAGGGUACUCGGGCUAUUAGCUCGGGUGGUUAGAGCGCACCCCUGAUAAGGGUGAGGUCCCUGGUUCAAGUCCAGGAUGGCCCACCUGAAAUACACAGGCAGGAUGCCACAAAAAAAGGAAAAAAUUUUAGCAUUGUCUCUUGUAAUCAAGAGCAAGAGAUAAUGCUGGAAUCUAUUCC